This is a non-coding RNA of Pelobates cultripes (western spadefoot toad), 293 nucleotides long. Lineage: Eukaryota; Metazoa; Chordata; Amphibia; Anura; Pelobatidae. The record is from the annotation of a GenBank genome assembly.
GACAGUAUAAAACAGUCAGAGAGACAGUUUUAAUAGGACAGAUGUUUAAGUAAGUAGAGGAAAAAGUUACAAAUCCAUAAGGAAGGUAAGUGAAGGAAAGGACAUGGAAGAGCAAGGUAAGGGGAAAGAAAGAGGAGUAAGUAUGGAAGAGGGGAAGGGUGUUAGUUGUAACAUGUUCUUGAUAUUAUCUUAAGGUGGGCAGAUGGAGAUACGUUGUAUCCAGGGUGACCAAAUAUCAAUGUAUUUAUUAGCAGAGGCAAUUGCAGCUUCCACUGAGUAAAUAUUUUCUUCCA